GGUCACAGUCAUUUCACCCUGCAGCAGGCCUGAGCCUGGCCAGUACCUGGAUGGGAGACUACAUGGGAAAACUAGGUUGCUGUUGGAA
Danio rerio (zebrafish) is the source of this 88-nucleotide non-coding RNA. The record is from Rfam. NCBI's taxonomy places the organism in Eukaryota, Metazoa, Chordata, Actinopteri, Cypriniformes, Danionidae.